AUGGGGAAAGCAAUUUUUUUUGCAAGUAAAUGUGUGAAAGUUAAUGACAAUUUCUGUACCUGCUGGUGUAACAAGCCAGCCACAAUGUCAGGUUUUAAUGUAGGGAAGCAGCAGCCCCCUGGAGAAUACCUGCAGCCUUUUAUCACUUCACCAAUACAUUUAUCCCUCUCAAGGCGAUGCAGACAUCAGAGCACACGCUUGGUUUUGCUCUGUAACAACAUCAACAUCACAGAGGAGCGUAUCCAUGCAAAAUCUUUAUUUGGAGAAUGUCUCCUGUGGGACAGCAGCACCCCUCCAGUUUACAGGGAUUCAAUAGCAUAAUCAUCUCAUGAAAUCUCCAGCUUCAUUCUUUACUGGGACUGUGCAGAAGAAUACAACUUUAAACUCCGUGGUCUACACCUGUAAGUAAAUCUCACUCCAGUAAAUUAGGACUGCAGCAUCGUGACUUAUUGCCCGGGGCAUGAAAUUAGGGGGGUGUUUGAUCCUUAACCAAGAAAAUAUCAGCGUCCUGCAAAAGGACAGCUUUACAGGAAACAUUCAAAAGGCCAACAAUUAAAAAGCUCAUUUAUUUCAUCUGAUGGCUCCUGUCAAGUACAGAUGUGCUUCUCAGAUACACUUGCUUAAUCAGAUUGUGAGCUUGGACAAAAUGCCUACCUUGCAAUUGCAAGAACUGCUAUUUAAAAUGCAAGAACAUCUCACUUGUACUUUUCUCCCAAUUGCUUUUCUUUUGAAAAGGGGCAGUGAAGAAAAUAUCAACGCUUUAACCAGCCCAGAAAGUCCACUAUUGUAAAACUAACAUUCAGCUGGCUGGCUGUGUGCUAAAGGCAACAGAGUAUUGACCCAAGAUAUUAAUACUGAUUUAUGAUAUUAAACAGAAAUAUUUCACUAAACUCAAAUAUUUAUAUAAAUAAGCUCUAUGGGACUGGCUAUUUUCAAAGGGUGCCCACUUGACAGAUUAAUUGUAUUACUUGACCACUUUAAGCACAUAUUGUCCUUUUUUUUUAUUUUUUAUUUCCCAGCAGUUGUUGGCUGUUUCAGUGUAUAGAAGCUCCCACCAGCCUUUCAUUUUUACGUGUUCCAUCAGGAGCGGAGACAACGGAACUCGAUGGGUUUGAUGCAGUUUGGAGUUGUUUGCAGUAAGGACUAAUCUGUGGCACGAAACACAAGUCUUUCCUAUGCCUAAGGAAAGCUUUUUUGAGUCAGUAGCUGACAAGUGGUGCUUGUUCAGGCCUACUGCUGGGCAUUUCAGCUACCAAUGGUUGUGAGUCAUGCGAAGGGAUUUCCCUCCUUUGCCUCUCUCGUCCCACCCUAUUUGUCAGUGAUGACAGUGGGAUUUCAGAGACAGGAGCAUUUCUCAUUGCACUCUUCUGUCUAGUUCAAAAUGCCUCUAGCAAGGACUGGGGUGGGAUCAGGGAACCGUGGCUCUUCCUGCAGACCAACUCCUAACUCGUGCUCAGGGGAACCACACGAGGGAGCACUCUCACCUUCCAAAAAUGACAUUCCCAUCAGGGAGUUCCCGAAUACCUUCUCACUUCGCACCUCUGCUCCAAACCCAAAGGGACUUGCUUUUCUUGGUCAGCAGCUGCGAGCAAUGCUGGAGACUGGUGUGACUUCUUUCUCAGACAGAAGAUGAGAGCCUCAGGCUGUGGGUUCACCAUGUCCCUCCCUGGCACCAGCGCUGGUACCGUAGCACAGCCACCAGGUGCUGUUAUCUCACUAACCCCAUAAAUUGGCUUUUUACCCUCGUAACAGCACCACAUCCUCCUCCUCCUCUGCAUCCACUCAGCCAUGAGUGCCUGCCCUGGCCAUUGCCAAUGACAGCUGUUGCCAUGACAGCUUUAUUGAAACAGGCACUGAAAAUCACCAUUAACUAUUUUUUAACUGCAUCUGGUGCAGAAGGAGCUUUCUUUUGACUAUUUGCAACUGGCAAAGGGCUUCUGGAAAGGUGUUCAUCUAUGGUAUCAUCCCCCAAGCCCGUUCAGAUAGCUGAUAUGGCACAGGUGCCAUAGAAACACUAAAUCAUAGUCAUUCCUAUGUCACAGUAGGAAUAUCUAGUGUGGUUAAACUAGCACACCAUGUUUAAAGCAGUACUAACUCUAGUCUUCCGUCCAUUGGUCAGCCACAUUGCUGCAAAAUAAAGCUUAUUAAUGUUUUAAGUUUUAAUUUCUC
Molecule: long non-coding RNA, 2169 nt
Filed under: Anas platyrhynchos platyrhynchos (common mallard)
Lineage: Eukaryota; Metazoa; Chordata; Aves; Anseriformes; Anatidae
Description: lncRNA (ENSAPLG00000029841.1)
Source: RNAcentral